UGGUGGAGUGAUUUGUCUGGUUAAUUCCGUUAACGAACGAGACCUCGGCCUGCUAACUAGUUACGCGAAGGCUCUGCUUUGGCGGCCAACUUCUUAGAGGGACUAUCGGCGUCUAGCCGAUGGAAGUUCGAGGCAAUAACA
RNAcentral lists this ribosomal RNA (141 nucleotides) under uncultured eukaryote. Its description in RNAcentral is "partial 18S ribosomal RNA". It matches the Rfam family "Eukaryotic small subunit ribosomal RNA", at positions 1299 to 1458 of the family's 1831-position model. The record is from RNAcentral.